CUGGCUCAGGAUGAACGCUAGCUACAGGCUUAACACAUGCAAGUCGAGGGGCAGCAUGGGGUAGCAAUACUCAGAUGGCGACCGGCGCACGGGUGAGUAACACGUAUCCAACCUGCCGCUAACUCGGGGAUAGCCUUUCGAAAGAAAGAUUAAUACCCGAUGGUAUAAAGAGUUCGCAUGUUCUCUUUAUUAAAGAAUUUCGGUAAGCGAUGGGGAUGCGUUCCAUUAGAUUGUUGGCGGGGUAACGGCCCACCAAGUCUACGAUGGAUAGGGGUUCUGAGAGGAAGGUCCCCCACAUUGGAACUGAGACACGGUCCAAACUCCUACGGGAGGCAGCAGUGAGGAAUAUUGGUCAAUGGACGAGAGUCUGAACCAGCCAAGUAAGCGCGAAGGAUGACUGCCCUAUGGGUUGUAAACUUCUUUUAUAAGGGAAUAAAGUGAGGGACGUGUCCCUUUUUGUAUGUACCUUAUGAAUAAGGAUCGGCUAACUCCGUGCCAGCCGCCGC
RNAcentral lists this ribosomal RNA (506 nucleotides) under uncultured bacterium. Its description in RNAcentral is "bacterial SSU rRNA". It matches the Rfam family "Bacterial small subunit ribosomal RNA", at positions 19 to 518 of the family's 1533-position model. The record is from RNAcentral.